UCAUGAGAGUCAUUCUAGUAAGUAUAAAUUGACUGAAAAAUAAUGAAAUUCAUCCAAGCAUGGAUGUACAAUAGCAUCUAUGUGUAUCCAUAUGUAUACAUCAUAUCCAUAAGUUAUACAUCAUUAUUACAAUAAACAAGGAUAUAUGCAAGUUCUUGUCCAUGUUGGUAUCCAUAGUUAACAGGACAAAAAGGAUAUGAUUUUCCAAAAUACAUGAGUGGCUUUCAAGAUAAGAAGUGGUGAAAAUUCAAACUCACCGUACAAAUGUGUACUUGUUCAAGUGAGAGAAAAGGUUUUGCUUCCAAGGAUUGUACUUCUAAGAAUCCCGCCAUUAGCAACUUGCGUUCAAGCAUCGAGCUUGGCUGCAACAAGAGCAACAACAUAAAUCUUCUUGCAAGGGUUUUAACAUCCAGAAAGAUGCACACUUCCAAUCAUUUAAAAUAAUUCUUACCUUACUUCCAGUCUGCUCAGCAGAAGCCUGUAUCACAAUAGCUCCACCAGGUUUAAGCACUCUGCUGAACUCCUCAAUCGAUUGCUCGCCAACAAGUUCUGGUGCUUCGGACACGGAAACAACUA
Molecule: long non-coding RNA, 576 nt
Filed under: Musa acuminata (dwarf banana)
Lineage: Eukaryota; Viridiplantae; Streptophyta; Magnoliopsida; Zingiberales; Musaceae
Description: long non-coding RNA (MACU_LNC006770)
Source: RNAcentral